Long non-coding RNA from Dama dama (fallow deer), 364 nucleotides. RefSeq lists it as uncharacterized. The transcript is spliced from 3 exons. The record is from RefSeq and is a predicted model, not a curated record. NCBI's taxonomy places the organism in Eukaryota, Metazoa, Chordata, Mammalia, Artiodactyla, Cervidae.
AGCCUCUUUGAGGGACAAGCCAUCUCCAGGUCCCUCUUUGGAGCUCUGAGCCUUGGAGGCCACGUUGGAGGUGCACCUGUCCUGGUGUCUCGCAAAGCUGACCCACGGGACAUGACCUCCAGGAAGUUCAAGUCCACAUCACGGCCGAAGCCCAAGUUGUAGAGUGGGAACCUGCCCUUGAUGGCAUCUCGGACAUUCUUGAGGAUUUGGGUACGAUCCGUCACCCCUGCAGCCACACAGCCAGGGCAGCCUGCAGCACCUGCCUGGUUGAGCUAGGCUGAGAUGUCUCUGAGGGCUCUGCUAUCUGACUCACCUUUUUCCCAGAGAAGGACUUCUUGAUAAGUUGGGCAGCCAGUUUCUUGGG